RNAcentral lists this ribosomal RNA (371 nucleotides) under uncultured organism. RNAcentral describes it as "partial 16S ribosomal RNA". It matches the Rfam family "Bacterial small subunit ribosomal RNA", at positions 527 to 896 of the family's 1533-position model. The record is from RNAcentral.
GUAGGUGGCAAGCGUUGUCCGGAAUUAUUGGGCGUAAAGCGCGCGCAGGCGGUUCUUUAAGUCUGAUGUGAAAGCCCACGGGCUCAACCGUGGAGGUCAUUGGAAACUGGAGAACUUGAGUACAGAAGAGGAAAGCGGAAUUCCACGUGUAGCGGUGAAAUGCGUAGAGAUGUGGAGGAACACCAGUGGCGAAGGCGGCUUUCUGGUCUGUAACUGACGCUGAGGCGCGAAAGCGUGGGGAGCAAACAGGAUUAGAUACCCUGGUAGUCCACGCCGUAAACGAUGAGUGCUAAGUGUUAGGGGGUUUCCGCCCCUUAGUGCUGCAGCUAACGCAUUAAGCACUCCGCCUGGGGAGUACGGCCGCAAGGCUG